GCCGGGAUAGCUCAGUUGGUAGAGCGCCCGCCUUGUAAGCGGAUGGUCGCCGGUUCGAUUCCGGCUCCCGGCACCA
RNAcentral lists this transfer RNA (76 nucleotides) under Pseudomonadota bacterium. RNAcentral describes it as "tRNA-Thr". It matches the Rfam family "tRNA". From Rfam's summary of the family: Transfer RNA (tRNA) molecules are approximately 80 nucleotides in length. Their secondary structure includes four short double-helical elements and three loops (D, anti-codon, and T loops). The record is from RNAcentral. Lineage: Bacteria; Pseudomonadati; Pseudomonadota. RNAcentral also lists the same sequence under 1 other name.